GAUGAACGCUGGCGGCGUGCCUAAUACAUGCAAGUAGAACGCUGAAGGAGGAGCUUGCUCUUCUGGAUGAGUUGCGAACGGGUGAGUAACGCGUAGGUAACCUGCCUGGUAGCGGGGGAUAACUAUUGGAAACGAUAGCUAAUACCGCAUGACAACAGUUAUUGCAUGAUAACUGUUUAAAAGGGGCAACUGCUCCACUACCAGAUGGACCUGCGUUGUAUUAGCUAGUUGGUGAGGUAACGGCUCACCAAGGCGACGAUACAUAGCCGACCUGAGAGGGGGAUCGGCCACACUGGGACUGAGACACGGCCCAGACUCCUACGGGAGGCAGCAGUAGGGGAUCUUCGGCAAUGGACGGAAGUCUGACCGAGCAACGCCGCGUGAGUGAAGAAGGUUUUCGGAUCGUAAAGCUCUGUUGUAAGAGAAGAACGAGUGUGAGAGUGGAAAGUUCACACUGUGACGGUAUCUUACCAGAAAGGGACGGCUAACUACGUG
This 495-nucleotide ribosomal RNA is filed under the name uncultured bacterium. Its description in RNAcentral is "partial 16S ribosomal RNA". It matches the Rfam family "Bacterial small subunit ribosomal RNA", at positions 28 to 507 of the family's 1533-position model. The record is from RNAcentral.